CAUGCAGUCGACGAUGACUUUUGUGCUUGCACAAAAUGAUUAGUGGCGAACGGGUGAGUAACACGUGAGUAACCUGCCCUUAACUUCGGGAUAAGCCUGGGAAACCGGGUCUAAUACCGGAUACGACCUCCUGACGCAUGUCAUGGGGGUGGAAAGCUUGAUGCGGUUUUGGAUGGACUCGCGGCCUAUCAGCUAGUUGGUUGGGGUAAUGGCCCACCAAGGCGACGACGGGUAGCCGGCCUGAGAGGGUGACCGGCCACACUGGGACUGAGACACGGCCCAGACUCCUACGGGAGGCAGCAGUGGGGAAUAUUGCACAAUGGGCGAAAGCCUGAUGCAGCGACGCCGCGUGAGGGACGAAGGCCUUCGGGUUGUAAACCUCUUUCAGCAGGGAAGAAGCGAAAGUGACGGUACCUGCAGAAGAAGCGCCGGCUAACUACGUGCCAGCAGCCGCGGUAAUACGUAGGGCGCAAGCGUUAUCCGGAAUUAUUGGGCGUAAAGAGCUCGUAGGCGGUUUGUCGCGUCUGCUGUGAAAGCCCGGGGCUCAACCCCGGGUCUGCAGUGGGUACGGGCAGACUAGAGUGCAGUAGGGGAGACUGGAAUUCCUGGUGUAGCGGUGAAAUGCGCAGAUAUCAGGAGGAACACCGAUGGCGAAAGGCAGGUCUCUGGGCUGUAACUGACGCUGAGGAGCGAAAGCAUGGGGAGCGAACAGGAUUAGAUACCCUGGUAGUCCAUGCCGUAAACGUUGGG
RNAcentral lists this ribosomal RNA (750 nucleotides) under Arthrobacter sp. RNAcentral describes it as "bacterial SSU rRNA". It matches the Rfam family "Bacterial small subunit ribosomal RNA", at positions 54 to 813 of the family's 1533-position model. Lineage: Bacteria; Bacillati; Actinomycetota; Actinomycetes; Micrococcales; Micrococcaceae. The record is from RNAcentral.